CUGUUUUUGUCAAGGGCAGAUAUUGCACUCACUGUUCAAGCUAAUGCAAGGUAAGUUGGCAAUACUUUAUUACAGCACACCUCACAGAUAGAUAGCAAUAAGUAUCCAUUCACAUGUGCAUCGUUUGUUUACUGUAGGUGCCAAAGCAUGAGGUGGUUAUGUAAAAAAUGCAGCUUUCAGUCAAACCGAAGACUACAGCUAUUAAAACACUUAAGGCUCAAACAUGGAAAUGCAGGCCGUCAAUCAUCAAUACCAUGUCUUCAUGCUGAUUGUCCUUGUUCAUUUAAAACAUUUAAUGCCCUUCAGAUACACUUAUCCCGAAACCACAUGGAAUCAGACAAACCAAGCGAGGUGCUGUCAUUUAGGUGUCUAAUAUGCAGUUCAACCCCAUUCUCUUCGGAGAAGCAAUAUUUUGAGCACCUUAGAAGCCAUAUGAGGAGGUACGAGGUAGUGACAUGUGUGUUCAAAAACUGCAACUUCAGUAUAAACAUUUAUUCAACCUUUGCAACUCAUAAACACAGGAAACACAAUACACACUGCAUUGAAGAUUUUAAAACUGAAGUCUUGAAAAAAUACCCAAAUCCUGCUGCUUUUCAAAAUCUAGAGGUCUCUGAUGAUGACAUAGAACUUGAUGAAACUUUGGUUGAUGCAGGAGAGAACUUGCCUGAAGUUGUAAAGAAGAAGUUUGGACAACUUCUUCUAAAGUUGCAAAGUAAUUUCAAUGUGUCAGGCAGGUGUAUUGAUCAAAUUGUAGAUGACCUUCAGUUCCUAUCUUCCUCUGCAUCGGCCCCAGCUUUGAAAGAUGUUGUUGAGUCCACUUUGAAGAAACAUAACUGUGAAGUACAUUCAGCAGUUAUCUCAGAUUUGGUUAAAAAUCUUUGUGAAUCACACCCUUUAAGUUCAGCUCUAGGGAAAGAUGGCCCUUUUUCAACGUCAUUUAAGAGGUCACAAUUCAUGAAAGCAAAUUUUUCAGUCGUUGAACCAGUAGAAUACAUACUACACAAUAAAGACAACAGAACAUUCCAGUAUGUUCCAAUAUUUCAGUCGUUACUGCAAAUCUUGAAGAAUGUAGAGGAAAAAGACUUGUUUAGUCAAAGAAAAUCUGGAUGUGCAUCACAAUACCAGUCCUUCCAAGAUGGAUCUCACUUCUGUAAAAAUGAUUUUUUGGCUGGAGAUGAGGACAGAUUAAGUCUUAUUCUGUAUAUCGAUGACUUCGAAGUGUGCAACCCCUUGGGAACUUCCCGCAAGAUCCAUAAAGUCACUGCCGUUUAUUGGGUGUUAGGAAACUUUCCAGCAAAUGCACGAUCAACACUAGCUUCUAUUAAUUUAGCUAUUCUGUGCAAAGCAGAUGACACAAAGCGAUUUGGAUUUCAGAAAGUUUUAGAUCCCCUCCUACCAGAUCUUCAAAGCUUGGAAAAAGAUGGUGUUUUUAUUCCAAGUUUAGUAAAAAUCAUGAAAGGCACUGUAGUGAGUGUGGUGGCUGAUAAUUUGGGGGCCCAUUCUUUGGGAGGAUUCGUUGAAAACUUUACAGGAUCUAAUGUCUGCAGAUUUUGUCUCGGAGAAAGGUCCCAGUUUCAGACCACAGAAGUAAGAUCUGGACUUUAUCAGAGGAGAAAUAAAGAGCAGCAUACUCUGCAUGUUGAGACGGCUUUGUCAAGUCCCAUUUCCACUCCUUGCUAUGGUGUGAAAAAACAGUGUGCACUGUCUGAAAAACUACAACAUUUUCAUGUAACAUCUGGUUACCCACCAGAUGUGUUACAUGACCUUCUUGAAGGUGUUGUUCCAUUGGAACUGGCAUUGUCAUUUCAAGCCUUCAUCAAGAAGAAAUAUUUUUCUCUUGUGGAGCUCAAUACUUGCAUUCAACAGUUCCCUUAUAAGUGGAGUGACCAAACAAAUCGUCCACAUGUGAUUCCUAUUCAUUUUGCCACAAAAAGAACUGUAGGAGGGAAUGCACAUGAAAAUUGGUCUCUGUUGCGUUUGUUGCCUCUCAUAAUAGGUUUGAAAGUACCUGAGGAUGAUGAAGUAUGGCAGAUGUUAAUGACCUUAAAAGACAUUGUGGAACUUGCGGUGGCCCCAGUUCAUACUGAGCAGAGCAUCUGCUACCUUGGCACUUUAAUAUCUGAGCACCGAAACAGAUUUCUGGAAGUUUUUCCUCAAGAAAAGCUCCUUCCCAAACACCACUUUCUCGAGCACUACCCUGAGCUUAUUCAGGAAUUUGGUCCUUUGGCAGCCCUGUGGACCAUGAGAUUUGAAGCUAAACAUAGCUUUUUCAAAAAAAAUUGUAAGACAAACAGGCUGUUUCAGGAACAUACUGCUGUCCCUUGCAAAAAAACACCAGCUCAUGAUUGCAUUGCAUCUCAAUGAUUCAAAUGUGACAAAGUCAUCACUUUCAGUCACAACAACUUCACAAGUCUCUGUGGAUGUGCUACAGGAUGGCAUAAAAGAUUUGGUCCAACACAGGUAUCCACAUGCCACAGUGGUGCAUGUUGCAAAAAAUGUGCACUUCUCAGGCACCAACUACAAACCAGGGAUGUUGCUAUGUCAUGGUUUCACCGCAGACUUGCCAGACUUUUCUGAGGUGUUACAGAUUAUCUUGGUUUGUAACGAACUGGCCUUCGUUAUCAGACUACUAAGCACAUGGUACAAUGAGCACUUUAGGAGCUAUGAGUUGGAACACACAGGCAACAUUCAGAUACUGAAGCAAAAAGAAAUGGUUGACUACUAUCCUCUGGCUGCAUACACUGUUGCAGGAAGACGACUGACUACCUUAAAGCACUACAUUUCCGCUUCUGUUUAGGUGCAUGAUUAUCAAAGUUAAUAUUGUAUUGAUUUCAUUUUGUAAUGAAUUGUGUUAAUUUAUUUUUUGUAUCUGUUGCAGAUGUGCACCCCAGCAAAGCUGCGAUUAGUUUUUGGAGAGAAUGAUGUUCGCAAAUUGGUUCUGCCCUCAGGCAUCCCCAGUACUCUACAUGACCUCAAAAGUAUAAUCCAAGAAACAUUCAAUAUUCCAGAAUGCUUUACUUUGAUGUAUGAAGACAUGGAAUUUGGGGUAGAGUUGCCGCGGUGACGUAAUUUUCCCACCGGUUAAUCAGCGCGUCACAAACUCGGUGAUCCCGGUAUCACCGAGUGGGAGGGGCUUAUAAAUGCGCAUGCAGACGUGCACAUUUUUCUUUCACUUUUGAAUUACGCAACUGUUUAAAUGCAUCGCUUGCGUAAGCUGCGUUAAAUCGCCUAUGAAUUUGCGUGCAAUGUGAGUGCAACAGCUGGUUUACUUAAGUGCUUGAGUCAAUGUGCGCAGGUAAUUCCUUACAGAACCCGCCAGUCCCAAGCAGAGCAACCCGCUACUUCUCCAUAAAAGCGCUGCUUGAAUGAUGGGUUUAAUAUUUUUCUUGAUGAAAAACACAACAACAAAACGAUCUCGCUUAUAUUAAACAUCAUAUAUGUAUAUUAUAACAAAAACGAGCAAAGCAUGCGGCUUCUGUCAUCAUCUGGUCAGUCAGCUCCCCUUGCAAACUCUGACAGAAAUAAAUGAAAUCUGACACCUGCGGCUGCUCUGUGACGUGACGCGCGUUCAGCCCCGCUGAAUUCAGACAACAGACAGUUGUAAGUGUUUGCUCUCUCUAACGAAACUAAAUGAUUUAAUUACACGAAAAUAUCAAAAAGACGGUGUCGCGGUGGGCAAGUGAUAUAACCGGUGAGAGGCUGAAGCACCGGUUAUCACCGUUUCACCGACUAUCGCGGCAAGCCUAAUUUGGGGGCCAGUUUUUUAAUUUGGACUCCGUAGAUGAUGUGCAGGAUAAAUGUACUCUGAAAGUAGUACAAACUGAACCCAUCACCCUCAAUCUGGUUGUUAUGAAUAGAUCAACUCUACCAACAGAGUCCGAUGCCAGGUCAUGCAGUUCUCAGGACACUGUUGUGCCAACUCCUCUAAGUGACACUUCUUCUGACUCCACAUCCAGCGGAUCUCAGGACACUGUUCUUCUAUCGUCCUCUGAGACUACCACAUCAUGCCGUUCUCAAGGAUGGCCAACAAAGUUUAUAGUACCUAAUUUUUCCUUUGAUACUGAGCUCUUGCUUUCAGAUGGAAACAAAGCCUACCAAAAGGACGGCACCCUCUUGAACAAUCAUAGAGUGACAAGUAGUGUCCUUGAGACACUUGCAGAGAGGAUAUUUCUUUACACUGCAUAUCCAACGGGUGUCCAAAUUAUGAAUGUAGUGGAGAUGUUGAUUGAAAAGUACCCAUGCCUCAAAGAGCCAGGGUCCUUUAAUGGACAAUAUGGAUGGCAGCAAAGGAUUAAAUAUAAAAUGGGAAAUUACCGAGCCAAAUUAAGAGGUAGUCAGCUUUCCUGCCCAGAGCUUGAGGUGAACCAAAAAAGGAAGACAAAUGAAAACUCUACUCCAAAAGGCGUCAAAAGACCUAGAAAGGCUGAAGUAAAUUACUUGCCACCAUUUCCAUUUGGGGAAACAGAAGAAAGUUUAGAGAAGGAGAGGCUAGAUCUCCUUAAUGAAAUUAGGAAAAAAAACAACAAAAACAUAAUUGGUGAGAAAAUGGAGAAGACUUUCUCCUAUCGAAGAAAAGAAGUAGUUAAGUACUGCCCUGCUGUUAAAGAUUUCAUGGAGAGAUGGCCAGCCCUUUUCUGUGAAUCUGAGAUAAAAAAUGAAUUCAGAAGAAUCACCACAAUUUCCUUGGAGCGUACAUUCUUGGAAAAGCUGGACUUCUAUACCCCAAAACUCCUGGCUUUGUUUGAGAUGAAGGGUGGGGUUGCUGGCAUAAGAAUUAAACAUUUGCUGGAUUCACUCAGCCAGCAAGAAGAUAGGCUUGAAGAUAGGCGAGAUGCUGUGAUUCGCUGCCUCCUGUCCUUCCUGGGAGAAUCAGCUGAGGAGCUCAUUGAAGACCACCAGGAUAUCAGCAGAGACGUGAUUAAGGAUACCUUCUCCAGUCAUGUCAUGAAAAUCAUUGUACUCAGCAGGUCUGUGGAAGAAGAUGCCAGUAUGUUUGAUGUCAUCAUUGUCAUCGAGGGAACAGAGGUGCUGCUGGGAUGUAAAAAUCUCACAAAUGCUUGUCUUUCACUCAUGGGCUGCAUUUACUCCCUAAACUUAAGCUAUCCCCCAAAGCUGAGAAACACAUUUGAAGUGUUUCAGAAAAUCUUUCUUGGGCUAGAUGCUUUUAAAUUUUCUCCAAAGGUUAACUCUUUGCAUAGAAAGCUUCUAAUGUAAUUUGCUAGUUGGGCACUACUUGCACUUAUUGUACUGUUUUUGUUUUUGUUUGUUUGUUUUUUACAAGAAAGAUUGUUCAAAAAAACAACUUCAACUGCAGUACUAUUUUACAUUCUUAUGCCAUUCUUGCCAUUCUUAUGCAUUUUAAGUAAUGCAAUUCUGCUGGAGACCAUAGAGUUUUACUAUUAUUUUAUUUGAUGUUUUUGUUCCUUUAGUUUAAUCUUAUUAAAAUUAAAGUACGCUGAAAGGCAGCUACUAGUUUGACAUUAUUUGCACUUUUUCACUUUUUUUGUUUUUGAUGUCUGCAACUGAGGUUGUUGUAAAUUGUUUGUUUUAUAUGUUUAUAGAAAGGUUUUAUAUCUUUAAAUGUUUAUGCAUUUUAAUGGACUGUGUGGUUGUUCUAAAAAUAGUUUACUGGAGUAAAAUGCACUAUAGUGCACCAUUUACCAGAACCAUACAACCGAUGGAGUUUUAAUAUUUGUUUUAUGUCAUGUUCCCAUCUUUAAGGAAUCUUAAAAAAAUAAAAGUAUUCAAGUAAAAUGUAUGUCAGUGUUAUUUUAUUGAACACCAUUUAAAUACAUAAACAAGUAAUGUUAAAAUAAUAUUUAAAGUAAAGGUUACUCAAAACUUUAAAUAAUAAAACUAGGAUCAUUGUGUAAAAAAAUUAAUUUAUAAGCAUUACUUAAGUAAAAUAUAUAAACAAACAGUCAAUACAAUUUACUGGGAAAUUCCAAGAAAACUUUACUUGAGAUUUUCUAAUUAAAGCUACAGUUCCUUGUGUUUAGUUUUUACUUGGAAAUUCUAUUGAAAUUACUCACAUUUUCUAAGUGAAAAAACUUUCCUAACUUUUUUCAAGUAAAUUGUACUCCAAAUUUUUUCAGUGUACAUUUGGCAGUCCUUGCAGUACAGUUGCUAACAUUUUCUGAAAUGCAGAGGGGGCUGAAGCUAGGCCAUAUGGUACAUGACAGAAUCUAAAUAAUCCCUCAUGGGUGAUAAAUGCAGUCAAGUCACGGCUUUCUUCAUGUAACAAAAGCUGAAAAUAAGCAUUCUCCAAAUCAAUUGUAGAAAAGACAGUUGCUCCACGCAGCAUAGACAUCAACUCAUCAAUAUGAGGCAAAGGAUAACUGUCUGCAACAACAGCUUUGUUUGUUUC
This is a non-coding RNA of Misgurnus anguillicaudatus (oriental weatherfish), 6367 nucleotides long. The record is from RefSeq and is a predicted model, not a curated record. NCBI's taxonomy places the organism in Eukaryota, Metazoa, Chordata, Actinopteri, Cypriniformes, Cobitidae.